AAUGAACGCUGGCGGCAGGCCUAACACAUGCAAGUCGAACGGAUCCUUCGGGAUUAGUGGCGGACGGGUGAGUAACGCGUAGGAACAUACCCUUUGGUACGGAAUAGCCUCGGGAAACUGGGAGUAAUACCGUAUGUGGUCGAGAGACGAAAGAUUUAUCGCCAAAGGAUUGGCCCGCGUUGGAUUAGGUAGUUGGUGGGGUAAUGGCCUACCAAGCCGACGAUCCAUAGCUGGUUUGAGAGGAUGAUCAGCCACACUGGGACUGAGACACGGCCCAGACUCCUACGGGAGGCAGCAGUGGGGAAUCUUAGACAAUGGGGGAAACCCUGAUCUAGCUAUGCCGCGUGAUCGAUGAAGGCCUUAGGGUUGUAAAGAUCUUUCAGGUGGGAAGAUAAUGACUGUACCACCAGAAGAAGCCCCGGCUAACUCCGUGCCAGCCGCCGCAGUAA
This 449-nucleotide ribosomal RNA is filed under the name uncultured bacterium. RNAcentral's name for it is "partial 16S ribosomal RNA". It matches the Rfam family "Bacterial small subunit ribosomal RNA", at positions 29 to 523 of the family's 1533-position model. The record is from RNAcentral.